GUCCUGUUCGAUUAGUUGGUUAAAUCAUCUCGUUGUGGAUAGGGGCUCCGAGAAGCCGGAAGUUCGAAUCCUCCACAGGACA
Non-coding RNA from Termitomyces sp. Mi166#008, 82 nucleotides. The record is from the annotation of a GenBank genome assembly. NCBI's taxonomy places the organism in Eukaryota, Fungi, Basidiomycota, Agaricomycetes, Agaricales, Lyophyllaceae.